Selenomonas sputigena ATCC 35185 is the source of this 205-nucleotide non-coding RNA. Lineage: Bacteria; Bacillati; Bacillota; Negativicutes; Selenomonadales; Selenomonadaceae. The record is from Rfam.
CUAUGCUACAAUCAAAGAACGCAAUGGGCGUUUUCUAUGUUGCUCUUUUGAGAAGCCUUUUCCAGUUCGGAGCGCGGCGCCUUGGUCUUGCGCAAUGGAGUCUCGUGAACCCCGUCAGGUCCGGAAGGAAGCAGCGGUAAGCGAACCGCUUCAUGUGCCGCGAGGGCGCCUGGGGGUCGCGCCCCGAAGUGGAAAAGGAGUAUUU